GACGAACGCUGGCGGCGUGCUUAACACAUGCAAGUCGAACGGAAAGGCCCUGCUUUGGUGGGGUGCUCGAGUGGCGAACGGGUGAGUAACACGUGAGUAACCUGCCCUUGACUUUGGGAUAACUUCAGGAAACUGGGGCUAAUACCGGAUAGGAGCUCCUGCUGCAUGGUGGGGGUUGGAAAGUUUCGGCGGUUGGGGAUGGACUCGCGGCUUAUCAGCUUGUUGGUGGGGUAGUGGAUUACCAAGGCUUUGACGGGUAGCCGGCCUGAGAGGGUGACCGGACACAUUGGGCCUGAGAUGCGGCACAGCCUCCUCCCGGAGGCAGCAGUGGGGAAUAUUGCACAAUGGGCGGAAGCCUGAUGCAGCAACGCCGCGUGCGGGAUGACGGCCUUCGGGUUGUAAACCGCUUUCGCCUGUGACGAAGCGUGAGUGACGGUAAUGGGUAAAGAAGCACCGGCUAACUACGUG
RNAcentral lists this ribosomal RNA (468 nucleotides) under uncultured bacterium. Its description in RNAcentral is "partial 16S ribosomal RNA". It matches the Rfam family "Bacterial small subunit ribosomal RNA", at positions 28 to 507 of the family's 1533-position model. The record is from RNAcentral.